Bacillus rossius redtenbacheri is the source of this 432-nucleotide long non-coding RNA. RefSeq lists it as uncharacterized. The record is from RefSeq and is a predicted model, not a curated record. The transcript has 3 exons. NCBI's taxonomy places the organism in Eukaryota, Metazoa, Arthropoda, Insecta, Phasmatodea, Bacillidae.
CAAAGUAGUUCCUACACUACCACGUGGAUUUGUGCAGCUUUUUUCUGUACAUGUCAUAUUCAUGAAUGUGGCUUUCCCUAUCAUGUUAGCACUAAUGUGCUUUCGAACCGAGUCAGCAUACGUUGCCGUGCUCCAGCACUUGAAGGAAGCAAUUUCACAGUGGAAUGUUCGGCGUAUUAUCAUGGACUUUGAAAUUGCACUUCGAAGAGCUGUACGAGUAGUGUAUGCAGAAUCGAGAAUAGGUGGAUGUUGGUUUCACUAUUGCCAGGCUGUGUGGCGGCAAGUUAAUCGUCGUGGGUUGGUUGGCGAGAGUCGUCGCAACCCUAACAUAAAGCUGGCGAUAAAAAUGAUAAUGGCGCUCCCACAUCUGCCGGCACAACGAGGACAAGCUUACGAUAACUCAACUCCCGCGGUCAACGUUCUUGAUGGACU